GAUGAACGCUGGCGGCGUGCUUAACACAUGCAAGUCGAACGAUGAUCCCAGCUUGCUGGGGGAUUAGUGGCGAACGGGUGAGUAACACGUGAGUAACCUGCCCUUAACUCUGGGAUAAGCCUGGGAAACUGGGUCUAAUACCGGAUAUGACUCCUCAUCGCAUGGGUGGGGGGUGGAAAGCUUUAUUGUGGUUUUGGAUG
This 200-nucleotide ribosomal RNA is filed under the name uncultured bacterium. Its description in RNAcentral is "partial 16S ribosomal RNA". It matches the Rfam family "Bacterial small subunit ribosomal RNA", at positions 28 to 227 of the family's 1533-position model. The record is from RNAcentral.